ACCACCACCAAUCACCAUCAUCAAUCAUUAUGUUUAUGCAUGAAGGAAAGAAUGGUGAGGGGGCUGCAUGCCUCAAUGUGAAUGUGGAAGUCAGAAGACUUUGUGAGGUAGGUUCUCUCCUUCCACCUUUAUGUGGGGUCUGAAGAUUGAUCUCAGGAUGCCAGACUUUGAGGUAAAUACCUUUACCCACUGAGCCAUCUUACCAUCCCUACUCUUGUUUUUGAAAUAACCCUGUUAUAUCUCCUCCAUGAGCCUAAAAAAUUUGUCCAAUGCCAUAUUUCAAAAAUGGAAGAGCUAGGAUCCAUUUGUUGCUAUUCCUGUGCAGCAUACCUUUGGUCUUUUCUACACUUUCCUUGUGAUGGUGUGUCAGGAGGGUGAUCGCAAUGGAUGGGCUUCUUAAAGACAUUUUCACACAGGUAGGGAGCUCACUAGUUCAAGAAGAAUUCUUCCAUCCAUUGUAUCAAUUUGCAUAAUCCUUCUAACCCCACAUACCCCAAAGCCAGACUCUGAAACUAAGCCAAGAAGCUGAAGGACACUGGAAGGUAGCACUAAUGGUUGCUUCUCACUGAGACCUUUCAUGCCCUUUAGGACCAAGUCCCCGCCCACCUCUCAUCCUGACCUCUUACCGCCCACACCACCAUUUGCUUAUUCUUCCAAGUAGCUUUGGUAUGGACUCUUACUUUUGUAUAAAAUAAACCAAUGAUAUUUUCUUUGCCUCCUUUAUAUCUAUUCAGCUCAGAAUGCACACAUUAUUCCUCAGUGACCCCUGACCUUCAACUGGGUUCAGCAUCUCUCCUCUGUGAAUACAUUGUCCUGUUUCUAGUUACAGCUUAGCAUGCUUCUCCUAGUUAUAGUAUGACCUCUUAAAAGAAGAUAGAGUUGUGUUUGUUUUGUGUCUCUAGGCACAGCUAGUAAUUGGUACAUAGUGCUGAUGAAUGAACAAACGAAUGAAUGAAUGAAUGAGUGAGUGAAUGAGUGAAUGUGUGCUUUGAGGCCAGAGAGAUCUUUGAGGGCACCCUCUCCCACUCUCAACCUGGAGCACUUUACCCCAUCUCAAAGUGAUGGUGCCUCUAUCUGAUGAUUGGGAAUAGUAACACAGACACUUUAUAGGAAUUAACAUAGACUUCAAGCUAUCAGUGAAGAAACCAGCCUACAUAACUUUCAUAGUAGUAAGACCACUAGAGAGUGAUAUUCUUAGAUUCUACACUGCUCUCUUGGCUCCCUGAGAAGUUUUCUUACUUUAUAAAACAUUUUAUUUCUCACUGCCAAGACUCAAGAGCAUCUAUCAGUUAAGCAUUUGAUUCUAGGACUCAGUAUAGAGAGAAUGCAAGUCUCCCGUUGAGUGUGACAUACUCUGCCCUCUCCUCUCCCACUAGGGCUGAGAAGAUAGAUGAUACAGGCUGACUCCCUCAGACAUCACAAACCACCAGUCACCACUGUAGAACUUUCUAAUGUUGUCUCCUGAGUGGCCAUCCUUGCUUUUCUCGGCCAGCUCCCGUGGGCUGCAGCUCAGGUGUGAUGUCUGUUGAGACCCUACCUCUACAGUUAGAAAGGAUGUUACACGGCUGCAAGUAAAACACUAAUCAAUUUCCCCUAAUGGCUUUUCCCAAACCUCUACCCUGACAGCUACUCUUAGAUCAGGCUGUCUAGUGACUUUAAGACUCUCUAAAUAUGUAAAUAAGUUUUGUUACACCAUUAAGCUUGUAAGAAAUAAGACAUUAAUUAGCAUUAGCAUAUUGAAUCACUUAGGUGUCAGUAGCUAAUAUGGCUAAUUGACAUUUAAUAAGUCUUGCUAUCUAAUUUGCUAUGAAUUACAUUAAAUGUUAAUUAAUUACUUAGUUAUUCUUUACACAAUUAUUAUAUGUUAAUGUGCAUUUAAUAGCUUAUUAUUUGGGUAAUUGUCCUAACGGUAAACAAGUUACCUGUAAAUGUGCUAGUUUGAACAUAUCUAGACCACUCAUGAGAGAAUUCUUUUAAACCUAAUUGAUAGGUCAGUUAAUAUAAUUUCAAAUUAUUGAAAAAAUAACCAUGGAUUUGGAGGACACAAUUCCCUAGUUAAAUUGGUCAGCUUUUACUUUAUUUGUUAGCAGCAUCUGUAACAGGUAAUACUCUUGUUACCCAUUCCAUUAAACUGUUGACAAUAGCUCUAUGAAUGAGCACACCUUGGAGAGGGUUAUUAUUGGCCCAUGUGUAAAUCUCAGAUGUUUUGUUAAUAGAGUCAUGUGGCUGGUUCAAGAGCAGGUGUGAUUUGGACUGCGUUAGUGGAAGCACAGUGUCUAAAACAAAAGCAAUGGGAACCUUGCCCUGCCUUGCUCUGGUACAGCCAUACAAUAUUUUCUCAACUCUUAAGAAUGACAUAUUUAAAGAGAUAUAAGUUAUGUCAUGGGAAGAACUGGAGAAGAAUUCCAAGAUGUUUUGCCAAGGAAAACUAGUACAGAACAAUCUUUCUUAACAUGUAUGAUAGUUUGCAGAAAGUAAAUCGUUUUUCCUUCUUAACUCAUUGAUUCAAGUGAGAGCACUGGGUCAUGUGGCAGGAGUUAAAAGCAACAAAUUUCACAGCCAGUUGGAGCUAAGGAUGGGAGAAAGUGUUUCUGGAGUAAUGAAAACCCCGUCACUGGAGGAGUUCAAGCAUUAGCUAAGGGAUUUUUAGCACUGGCCUGUGCAGAAGGGACUUGAACUUGGGAAGCCCUUCCAGGUGCAUAUAAAUGCGGUUCUAUCUUGAGACCCGGCCUGGUAGUGGGCACUAUCUCGCCAUCUGACUCCCCUGGGUCUGAAUUGCAAAUUCCCUUCAGGUGUCCUCCACCAGCCCACGCUCCGAGUGGGGCUCAGAAGGGACCAGCUGAGCCACGGCAGUCAAUUAUCUUUGACAGGACAGGACAGGAGAAAGGGCAGGCGCCUGGCAGGCAAAUAAACUUAAUGAAGUUUGUAAUAGACUGCGGAAAUAUCAGCCUCGUGAUCAAAGCAGGAAUAAGCCACAAGAAACUAUUAAUUAAGACUCUCCCACUAUCUCCUGUUCGCAUUUCCUCCUUCACUGUGGCAGGAACAUUCUAAUUGUUCCAGGGCUUUCAAGAUGCAAAGGCAGCUUUUCUUUCCUGGAUUUCAAAAUGUCCUUGGGGUUCAAGUGUCUGUUGCCAUUACUGUCAGAGCCUUUGGGUCUCCACAUUCCAGCUUUGCCCUCUGUAAGCAGGGGAGGUACCCUGUGCUGAAUGCCUGCUCCCUCCUGUCUCCUCACAGUCUCCUUGUCCGCCCAGAAUGCCCUUGUUCUUCCGGUGCCUCAUCCCUUUUUGACCAUGCUGUUGCCCAUUAACCCUUCCCACCCAACUGUUGUUUUGGCCGUAAAACUCUUUCUACUCUUGUAUGUAUGUACUGGCCAAAGGAAACAGUCAAAACAUUUAAUAGCCAGUAUUAUAGCCCCACACGUGAGUCCAUUUAUGAACAACGAUAAAAUCCAUUUCCUCUAAUUUCGGAACUAAAGCUGCUUAUUCUGCAAAUCAUGCACCAAACCAGUCCAACAUCAUCCUAGUCACUGGUUGAUUUUUCAGAAUCCUUGGUGUGAUCUCCCAUCUGAUACAGGUGUCACUGAAUAAAGGUUUUGCCACAGGAACCAGAAUCAACCCCUUCCAGUCACUGCCGUUCCGUUCCUAGACAGAGAGCCUCAGACUUAGGAACUGUGUGCACAAGUUGCAGCACAGAGUGCAUUCUGGUGCUCCCCGCCCUCCCUGAAGACGAGCACCAGCAGAUCCCUCUAACGCUAUGCCUGCCCUGCACCUCAUUCAACGUACCCUCAAGGCCAGACCACUUUGAAGAACGGGGUGGUUGACAGCUGCUGGGAGCCUUCCACCUGCUCCUCACUCUUCCCAGAUCCAAUUCCUGACCAAUGUAGUCACCUCUUGGUGCCACUAAGUGACUUACGAUCUAUUCCCCAGCUAGUGUGAGCAAGGCUUAAUAUCCCAACCACUGGAUCGCUAUAGCCGCACACUCAUCUGUCCUGUCUCUCCACGUGCCCUGUCACCUCCCCAAGAGCAGGUGUUCUAGAUGACAUCUGCCUUUUUCAAAGGGAAAAACAAGUUGGCAAAAGGUCCCCGGGGACAGCAACGAAUGCCAAUUUUUCCUCCCCUAACACAUGCCCAGGCUAAAAGAGUCUGGACUCCAUUCUCUUGCCUGUCCAGCCAUGAAUAUCUUCUGAUUCAGCCAUGUGGUAUCACAUGAGAGAAUCCCAUAAUCCUUUCCUGAAAAUGCCAGAGGAGAUCAGGGGGCACCCAUAGCCACAGCAGCCACAGCUCCUGUGGGAGAUUUAUGGAGACAGAUGGCUAUGGGGAGCAAGAGGUAUCAGAAUCAGGAGCAGAAGGGAUGACUUAUGAUCGCUGUCAACAUAAGCAGACCCUUGCCAUUGGAAAUGGCUUUCUUGUUGACUGUGUUGGUUGAAGCCUCAACAAAUGUAAAAAGAUGAACUGGGAGCUCCAGCCAGGGCUGAGAUCUUCCGAGGUGAAAAUCAUUAGCAAGAACAAUUUCUCUCCCUGCAUAGUGUUUAUCGUCCAUGGCCUUGGCUGGGGCUGGUGGAUCUCAGUUCCAGAGAGAACCAGUAGGCAGAAUCAGGUCAGGCUAUGAAUGACAGUGGGCAAAUCCAAGGCUAUUAUCACCUGCCCCCUUGCCCCACUGCCUUCCUAAGUUGGCCUGUUCAAUUAGCUUAAUGACAUGGUGGAAGAUGGUAUUUCCAAACAGUAGAAACAGCUGGGCUGCAAUCUCUCUGCUUGCUAGCUUGAAGCAUGUCAGGCUGCCUCUGUGGUGGUACAAGGGCCCUGUCAGCAUGACACACAUUUCGGGGAAAUGCUAUAAUUCACAACUGACACCUCGAUCAAUGCUCCCAAUUUCUAAGCUGUCUUCCCUGGGAAAUAGAGAAAGAAUCAGCUUCAAACGACCCAGCAGACUGUGGCUAGGAUGGAUCCCCUCCACUGUCCUCCUGCCAGCUUCUACUGGUCUCUCUGGGCCACUGUUCCAUCCCAUUGAGCAUGGUGGAUGAGUACAGCCUCUGAGGUCAGAUGUGACCUGAAUCCUCCACCAUUGAAGCUGCAUAGGACCUCAGACUCAUUGAUUGCUUAUUCACACUGACUCUCUAAAAUUGGGAACCAGUCAAGUCUUGCUGCUGAAAAGAACUUUAAGAGACAAUCCCUAGAGAGAAUUCGGGGUCUUGCCCUACAUAUUGGAAGCCUUCCAUAAACUUAGCAGACAGGCUUGGUCGACUCUUCUUGCCUUCUCUCAUUCCUGACUUGGUUCUCUUUGGGGCUGCACCUGUCGCCACAGAACACUCCCCUUCAGCCUAGCAUCCAGCUGUGUCCGAUUCCAGUCGCCUGGGUUUGCUUCUGCAUUUCCUUGGGACUCCCUGGGCCUCUUUGCCAGGUUUUAUGUCUCCCUGACUCUUUCCUUCCCUAUUUCAUAUUUCCCAAUAGCCUUACUCCAUUCUUUAUGCCACAGAACACUAUGGAACCAAAAAGCUUUUAAACCCUGUGCAAAGAAUAAACUCCUCCGAAUGGCGAUUGCCCACAACCUUGGUGAAGCUCAAGCUGUGAAAUCCAGAUUUUACUACUGUAAUUAUCCUGCCUGAAGCUAUGCCAGCUUGGCUGGGCUGGCAAAACAACGGGCCAGUCAGGAUCCAAUCACCCCUUUCCCAUGGACCAUAGAGAAGCUGCCUAGCUUUCAGCUGGGUGCUAAAAAUAGGCCUGGGGGGGGGGGGUAGAGCAGCUAAAAAUACUCUUUGGCCAAAGGGCCUUCCUGUGCCCCACAGGCUGGAGGCAGAAGGGCUUUAGGAACCCUGGGGUUUACAGCUGUGUGGUCCUUCAUGGGCAACAUAGAAUGGAGAAAACACACAGACAGGCACGAGGGGCAGCUGUAACCAGUAAUUUAGGUAACACUUACCAGAAGAGCUGGUCCCAGAAGGUGAGGCUGCAGAGCACACACAGGCAGUGAGCUGUCCACAGCCACCCCCAUGGAUAGACAAAGAAGGAAGAAAAGUUGGCUACAGGAAGCCUUCUUAAACUUUACUACUCUACUCUGGCCUCCACUGUUCUCUGCGAAAACACAACUUCCUUCACACUUUGCCCAUUAAUUCUUGGAUUCACUUUGCCCCCUGGGAGAAAGAUGUUUUACCACAGUCAACCCUGUGUCCAUCUGGAGCGCUGUCUACUGUAAAAGUCCUGUCUGCCAGCCCUCUGAAGACUUGAAAGUCUGGGGACACCGAUAGGAAGCAUCUUCACCCAGCUGCUGGAGGAUCUCAGGCUGAAGGAAUGAGGAAGAUGAAGAAGUGAGGAUUGGGACAAAAUGAUGUCUGGACAAACAAGGAAAUCCUUGCAAAACAUGAGCUGAUUUGCUUGACCCUGAACUCUCAGUGUCCGUGUAUCUCCUCACACCCUGGGCCUUGCAAACUUCUGCCUCUCGCUCAUUUGUGGGAUUAUGAGAAAGGGAAGGGAUUGGUUUGGGACAAGGAAGCUGAUGAAACCCACAAAAGUUCCUACAAGCUAGGCCUGAGCCUAAGAGAAGCACAAAGAGAAGGAUACAGAACACCCGUGAGAUGCUCUUGGCAAUGGGGCUUGGAAACUGGUCUGACCAGAGAGAAGUUGAGCCUGGAAUGUGGGAUAGUUUGCAUGUACAGGUGAUUGGGGGCGGGGGAAGCGUCAUUGAAUAUUGAACAUUCUAGAAUGGAGGAACUUGCUGGGAAUGGAAAACUAAGUCCCAGAACACAGAAGGAGGAGACUGAGUUCGUUGGACCUGGGAAGGGAGUAGAACUCAGUGUGAAGAAGAGCUGGACAUCAAACACACCGGGAGUCCCAGCUCAUCCACCGCACAACUGCUUGUCUGAAGUGAUGAGCCAGGGACAUCUGCUUCCCAAAAAAGAUUGCCUCCCCAGUGACUGUGAGGAAGGCAUCCACAGAGGGGCUGUGCUGGCUGCAGUGGGUGAUGAAUGCACGCAAUCAGGCGAGCAGCUUGCAAACAUUUCUGUCAGAUAGAGAACCCUGUCAUCUCAUUCCCAAUUUUAUUUCGUUCUCUUUCACCUCGUAUUUCAGUUAAUGGGAGCUGUCAAGGAGACACUUUGGUCCUUUCCCCUCCUCCUACAGCAGCUUAUGCAGUCUGACAGCCUGAGAGAUUUUUUUUUCCUGAAGACCUGCAUAAAAUAAAUUGUUAAACUUUCCCCGGGGAUUUAUAUAUCUGUGUGUACUUCUGUGUAUGAAGGUCUGUUUGUGCUCACCUAACAUCACAUGUGUGCAUGUGUGCAUGCGUGCAUGCGUGCUUGUGUGUGUGCGUGUCUAGAGAGCAUGUGUAUGAUGAGGCUGAAGCAACCUUAAUGCAAAGCUGGAUGUAUAGGUGUGUGACUCUAUGGUUUAGUAUCCUGUGUGACCAAAGCCCCAGUAGUACCCCUAUAACAUGGGUAUUGCAAGAUGGACCCUUCAUCCUACCAUAGUUGUCAUGAGCUUCAUGAUACAAGAAACAUAAAUACCCCUUAUGAGCCACACAUACCAUUGGUGGAUACAUCUAGUGUCAGCAUCUAUCUGCGUGCCGCCAUUGUUGAUACCUUAGCUCCCUAAGGCUUGGUGUGUUCAGAACUACUCUCCUGACUCCUGACUCCUGAGCUCAGGCUCCCUGACUGCUGUCCCUGCCCCUGCUCACAAGCUGCCAAGCAUUACCAGAGAGCCGGCAAACACUUAAAUCCCCAGGCUUACUUGCCCAUGCAUUCAACAAACAUUUAUUGAGUAUUUACCGUGGGUGAAACUCUGUGCUGACCUCAGGGGACUCCGAGUUUAAUAAAACAGAUGCCAUGCACACAGAAAGCUUUCGGACAAACUUUGAGUAUAAUAUACGGGGUAUUACAGUAGAUCCAGCCCCAGGCAUCAUGGCAACUGACCCUCUGGACUUGCAAACCAACCGCUCCUCAUCUUCUCUUCCAAUAUUUUGCCACAUUCUUCAAGUUGCUCACACUUUCAGAGUCACCUUCUUUGACACUUGACCCCGUGGCCUCUGGGCUAAUGUCACUUACUGCUCACCCUCAUGACACCAGGUGUAUGACAAGGUCUCAAUUGCCCUGGCUUUACCGGCCCUCCAUGAAUAACUUUUUCAUACUCCUCCCACAUGCCAUCCGACCAAAGCUGUGCAUCAGUCUUGAACAGACACACUUCCUUCCCACUUCCCCAUCUUUACUCGCUGGCCUUCUUUGUUCCUGGAAAGUCUUACCUGACUCUACACCACAUCCCAUUGCUUGAUACGGAGUCAUACAUGCACUUGGAGUCCUAGCUAAGAUGCUGCUACCUCAGAAUGCCCUCUAGAAUCCUAUAUCCCACACAGGAAAAAAAAUGUUAUCUUCUCUGUUGGAACAGGUAACAACAAAACUCAUUCAUAGAUAAAUGGGACUCCUUUCAUGCCACAACAAUUAUAUUUGCUAUUAGAAUUGAUGAAAGGUUGGAUGUAGAAGACUGAGGUUCUCAUAAAAAAUCAUUGUCCAUAUAAGAUACAGUCUGCCAACAUCCUGUCAUGGGACAGGGCAGGACCUCAGAGAGCCCUACCUUCCUCCUGAGGAUUUAGACACUGUUAGUGGUUGAGAGGGAAGGAGUGGGUAUUUUCUUUGGUUGAGGUUCAUGUGCUCCAUAAAUAAUCCAGUGAAACUCUCUGGGUCACACACACAAGAACAUGAAAGUAGGAAGAGAUUAGCAACAUGGGAGGGGAACAAGAAUGGGCAAUAGGGGCGAUGUGAUGAAGUGCAUUGUAUACAUGUAUCAUAGUAAAACCAAUUAUUAUGUAUAAUUUACAUACACCAAUAAGACAUUUUUUAAACUGCACAUGUCCUUGUAGACUUAAUGCAUGGCAGAAUAAGAUUAUAUCCACUUCCUCCAAAAAAUUUCAACUAAAAUGACUGAAAAGUAUUAAUAAAAUCGAAGCCCAUGGCGGCAGAGAAGGCUCAGUGUGCAGUGUUAGCUGUGCAAGCAUGAGGACCUGACUUUGGGUUCCUGGGACAGUGAGCAGCUCUAUCCCAGCACUUCCCAGUGAGACAGGAGUCUGAGACAAGGGAAUCUUCGGAAGUCCAUGAGCCAGCUAGGGUGGCUGGCACACAUAGUUACAAACAAGAGAUGCUGACUCUAAUAAGGUGGAAGGCAAGGUCCAGCACUCAAGGCUAUCUGCUAAUUUCCACAUACAUGCUAUAACAUGCAUAUGCUGACACUCAUGCACAUACACAUGCAAG
This 9223-nucleotide small RNA is filed under the name Rattus norvegicus (Norway rat). RNAcentral describes it as "uncharacterized LOC102548417". The record is from RNAcentral. Lineage: Eukaryota; Metazoa; Chordata; Mammalia; Rodentia; Muridae.